RNAcentral lists this ribosomal RNA (499 nucleotides) under uncultured bacterium. RNAcentral's name for it is "partial 16S ribosomal RNA". It matches the Rfam family "Bacterial small subunit ribosomal RNA", at positions 28 to 523 of the family's 1533-position model. The record is from RNAcentral.
GAUGAACGCUAGCGGCAGGCUUAAUACAUGCAAGUCGUGGGGCAGCAUGAGUAGCAAUACUUGAUGGCGACCGGCAAACGGGUGCGGAACACGUACACAACCUUCCGAUAAGUGGGGAAUAGCCCAGAGAAAUUUGGAUUAAUACCCCGUAACAUAUAGAGUAGGCAUCUUCUUUAUAUUAUAGCUUCGGCGCUUAUUGAUGGGUGUGCGUCUGAUUAGGUAGUUGGCGGGGUAACGGCCCACCAAGCCUACGAUCAGUAGCGGAUGUGAGGACAGCAUCAGCCAACCGGGACCUGAGACACGGGCCCGAGUCCUACGGGAGGCAGCAGUAAGGAAUAUUGGACAAUGGGCGAAAGCCUGAUCCAGCCAUGCCGCAUGAAGGAUUAAGGUCCUCAGGAUUGUAAACUUCUUUUAUUUGGGACGAAAAAAGGGAAUUCUUUCCACUUGACGGUACCAAGUGAAUAAGCACCGGCUAACUCCGUGCCAGCAGCCGCCGUAA